This 263-nucleotide ribosomal RNA is filed under the name uncultured marine organism. RNAcentral's name for it is "partial small subunit ribosomal RNA". It matches the Rfam family "Bacterial small subunit ribosomal RNA", at positions 59 to 308 of the family's 1533-position model. The record is from RNAcentral.
AAGUCGAGCGGAAACGAGUUAUCUGAACCUUCGGGGAACGAUAACGGCGUCGAGCGGCGGACGGGUGAGUAAUGCCUAGGAAAUUGCCCUGAUGUGGGGGAUAACCAUUGGAAACGAUGGCUAAUACCGCAUAAUGCCUACGGGCCAAAGAGGGGGACCUUCGGGCCUCUCGCGUCAGGAUAUGCCUAGGUGGGAUUAGCUAGUUGGUGAGGUAAGGGCUCACCAAGGCGACGAUCCCUAGCUGGUCUGAGAGGAUGAUCAGC